GAUGAACGCUAGCUACAGGCUUAACACAUGCAAGUCGAGGGGCAGCAUGGUCUUAGCUUGCUAAGGCCGAUGGCGACCGGCGCACGGGUGAGUAACACGUAUCCAACCUGCCGUCUACUCUUGGACAGCCUUCUGAAAGGAAGAUUAAUACAAGAUGGCAUCAUGAGUCCGCAUGUUCACAUGAUUAAAGGUAUUCCGGUAGACGAUGGGGAUGCGUUCCAUUAGAUAGUAGGCGGGGUAACGGCCCACCUAGUCUUCGAUGGAUAGGGGUUCUGAGAGGAAGGUCCCCCACAUUGGAACUGAGACACGGUCCAAACUCCUACGGGAGGCAGCAGUGAGGAAUGUUGGUCAAUGGGCGCAGGCCUGAACCAGCCAAGUAGCGUGAAGGAUGACUGCCCUAUGGGUUGUAAACUUCUUUUAUAAAGGAAUAAAGUCGGGUAUGUAUACCCGUUUGCAUGUACUUUAUGAAUAAGGAUCGGCUAACUCCGUG
Molecule: ribosomal RNA, 490 nt
Filed under: uncultured bacterium
Lineage: Bacteria
Description: partial 16S ribosomal RNA
Rfam family: Bacterial small subunit ribosomal RNA
Source: RNAcentral